CAUCGUGAGGUGGAGUCUGAAGAAAGCUGGAGGUAAAUCUCUGGUCUGACAAACAGAAAUCACAUCAGGCUACAAUUAAGGAUAAGACUGCACAACAAGUUAAAGUCCAAUAACUACUCUGAAUUAAUUGUAGUAAAUGUGGCAGAUAUAUGGAGAGAAAGG
RNAcentral lists this non-coding RNA (162 nucleotides) under uncultured Thomasclavelia sp. Lineage: Bacteria; Bacillati; Bacillota; Erysipelotrichia; Erysipelotrichales; Coprobacillaceae. The record is from RNAcentral.